UGGCGGACGGGGGAGUAAUGUCUGGGAAACUGCUGAUGGAGGGGGGUAACUACUGGAAACGGUAGCUAAUACCGCAUAACGUCGCAAGACCAAAGAGGGGGACCUUCGGGCCUCUUGCCAUCGGAUGUGCCCAGAUGGGAUUAGCUAGUAGGUGGGGUAACGGCUCACCUAGGCGACGAUCCCUAGCUGGUCUGAGAGGAUGACCAGCCACACUGGAACUGAGACACGGUCCAG
This 234-nucleotide ribosomal RNA is filed under the name uncultured bacterium. Its description in RNAcentral is "partial 16S ribosomal RNA". It matches the Rfam family "Bacterial small subunit ribosomal RNA", at positions 96 to 334 of the family's 1533-position model. The record is from RNAcentral.